AAAGUUUGAUCCUGGCUCAAGAUGAACGCUGGCGGCGUGCUUAACACAUGCAAGUCAAACGGGAAAUAUUUCAUUGAGACUUCGGUGGAUUUGAUCUAUUUCUAGUGGCGGACGGGUGAGUAACGCGUGGGUAACCUGCCUUAUACAGGGGGAUAACAGUCAGAAAUGGCUGCUAAUACCGCAUAAGCGCACAGAGCUGCAUGGCUCAAUGUGAAAAACUCCGGUGGUAUAAGAUGGACCCGCGUUGGAUUAGCUUGUUGGUGGGGUAACGGCCCACCAAGGCGACGAUCCAUAGCCGGCCUGAGAGGGUGAACGGCCACAUUGGGACUGAGACACGGCCCAAACUCCUACGGGAGGCAGCAGUGGGGAAUAUUGCACAAUGGGGGAAACCCUGAUGCAGCGACGCCGCGUGAAGGAAGAAGUAUCUCGGUAUGUAAACUUCUAUCAGCAGGGAAGAUAGUGACGGUACCUGACUAAGAAGCCCCGGCUAACUACGUGCCAGCAGCCGCGGUAAUACGUAGGGGGCAAGCGUUAUCCGGAUUUACUGGGUGUAAAGGGAGCGUAGACGGUGUGGCAAGUCUGAUGUGAAAGGCAUGGGCUCAACCUGUGGACUGCAUUGGAAACUGUCAUACUUGAGUGCCGGAGGGGUAAGCGGAAUUCCUAGUGUAGCGGUGAAAUGCGUAGAUAUUAGGAGGAACACCAGUGGCGAAGGCGGCUUACUGGACGGUAACUGACGUUGAGGCUCGAAAGCGUGGGGAGCAAACAGGAUUAGAUACCCUGGUAGUCCACGCCGUAA
RNAcentral lists this ribosomal RNA (796 nucleotides) under uncultured bacterium. RNAcentral describes it as "bacterial SSU rRNA". It matches the Rfam family "Bacterial small subunit ribosomal RNA", at positions 8 to 805 of the family's 1533-position model. The record is from RNAcentral.